CAAGUUAUAUUUUAGGAAUAUUAUUACUUACAAUAAUAAUUGGAUCGUGCAAUUCGUUCUAACUUGA
This 67-nucleotide transfer RNA is filed under the name Cletus punctiger. RNAcentral's name for it is "tRNA-Val". RNAcentral also lists the same sequence under 3 other names. Lineage: Eukaryota; Metazoa; Arthropoda; Insecta; Hemiptera; Coreidae. The record is from RNAcentral.